This 543-nucleotide long non-coding RNA is filed under the name Theobroma cacao (cacao). RNAcentral's name for it is "long non-coding RNA (TCAC_LNC005778)". Lineage: Eukaryota; Viridiplantae; Streptophyta; Magnoliopsida; Malvales; Malvaceae. The record is from RNAcentral.
AACAAAGAAAAUUAAUUCAAAGAAGUGAAAAACAUGGGGAGCAAGAGAAUGAUAUGUUUGGUAAUGCUUAUCUUUGCCAUGUUUGUGCUUGCCCAAAGUGUGUGCCAAGACGAGUGCGUUGCUCUUUGUCUACGCGACGUCCCUGGUCGCAAGCAUGGCUGUCAAUUAGCCUGUGAAACAGCUUGUAGAGAUCUUCCUCAUCCAUAAAUUUAUUGCAAUUAUUAUAAUUAUUAACCCUCAUUCUUCAUCGAUCCUCUUUAGAUACAUAUUUUUUCAAGAGAGAUUCAAAUUUAAUAUGAAAAUCAUGUAUUAAUCAAUUAGUCAAUUACUUUGUGAGUUAAUUAUUGUUUAGAAUUUAAGAGUUUAGAAAUGUCCUUGUAUUUUUUGUAUAUAUUUUUCUGGAUAUUUUGAUUUUAGAAAAAUGAAAAAAAAGAAAAAUAUUGUUUUUACUUUUGUUGGAAUGGCAUAUCGAGAAAAUGAUAGAUGGAAAAUGUAGUUUUAUCAGCAUUUGGACCCACGUCUAAAUAGUAAUGUUAAUUCUUA